This 519-nucleotide ribosomal RNA is filed under the name uncultured eukaryote. RNAcentral's name for it is "bacterial SSU rRNA". It matches the Rfam family "Eukaryotic small subunit ribosomal RNA", at positions 1161 to 1705 of the family's 1831-position model. The record is from RNAcentral.
GGGGCACCACCGGGAGUGGGGCCGGCCGCUUAAUUUUCCUUAUCUCGGGAAAACUCACCCGGACCCGACGCUGUUGGGAUUGACCGACUGGGGGCUCUUUCUUAAAUCAUGGGGGGGUGGUGCAUGGCCGGUCUUAGUUGGGGGGGGCAUUUGGCUUGUUGAUUCCAAUAACGAAGAUUUCUCUGGCCUAUUAAAUUACCGAGGUAUUCUUAAGUACCUCUCGCUUCUAAACGGUACGAGCCGCUUCCGGUCUCAAGACAAACCCCCAUAUCACGCCUGUGAUGCACUUAAAUGGCCGCGGAUGCUCGCGCGCUACGAAGAGAGAAACCGAGGAGAAGGUACCUAUCUCGGGUCAGCCGCUUCACCCCCGGAACUUCUUUCAAAUGACGGAUGUGGAAUUGCAUUUAUUUCCCUCCAUAGCUCAAUUCCCAGGCAACAAUCCAAAUAAGCUCGUCUUGAUUACGCUGCCUGCCCUUUGUGACACUCGCGUAUCUACUACGGAUUGGAUGACUUUUGGAG